Molecule: unclassified non-coding RNA, 79 nt
Filed under: Algibacter luteus
Lineage: Bacteria; Pseudomonadati; Bacteroidota; Flavobacteriia; Flavobacteriales; Flavobacteriaceae
Description: Arenitalea lutea Flavo-1 RNA
Source: RNAcentral
AUGCGUUAGGGAUUGCAGUGCUUAGCUUUUGGCGAGGCGAGCAUCGAGCCAAAACUAGUAGCGAAAAGCCCGACCAUUG